CAGCCGCCGCGGUAAUACGUAGGUGGCAAGCGUUGUCCGGAAUUAUUGGGCGUAAAGGGCUCGCAGGCGGUUUCUUAAGUCUGAUGUGAAAGCCCCCGGCUCAACCGGGGAGGGUCAUUGGAAACUGGGAAACUUGAGUGCAGAAGAGGAGAGUGGAAUUCCACGUGUAGCGGUGAAAUGCGUAGAGAUGUGGAGGAACACCAGUGGCGAAGGCGACUCUCUGGUCUGUAACUGACGCUGAGGAGCGAAAGCGUAAGGAGCGAACAGGAUUAGAGACCCGCGUAGUCCCUGUCUCUUAUAC
RNAcentral lists this ribosomal RNA (301 nucleotides) under uncultured bacterium. RNAcentral describes it as "partial 16S ribosomal RNA". It matches the Rfam family "Bacterial small subunit ribosomal RNA", at positions 509 to 812 of the family's 1533-position model. The record is from RNAcentral.